AAAGUUGCUGAUUUUGGCCUUUCCAAGCCUAUGAGUGACACUGAAAAGGGUCACAUUACCACUCAAGUCAAAGGGACAAUGGGCUAUUUGGAUCCAGAAUAUUACAUGACUCAGCAGUUAACUGAGAAGAGUGAUGUUUAUAGCUUUGGAGUUGUAUUGCUGGAGCUUUUAACUUCUCUAAGAGCAAUUGAUUUAAGUAGAGGAGAAGAUAAUGUGAACUUGGCCAUUUAUGUUCAGAGGAUGAUAGAGAAGGAGAAGUUGAUAGAUAUAAUUGAUCCCAUGCUGAAAGAAGCUUCAAGCAGUUUGGAGCUAGAAAGCAUGAAUGCAAUAGCACUCUUGGCAUUGGCUUGUUUGGAGGAAAAGAGAGAGAACAGGCCUUCCAUGAAAGAAGUCGCCGAGGAUAUCGACUACACUUUGAAUAUCAUAACCACAAAACAUCAUGUGCAAAACUAGCUUACGAGCGAACAUGAUGACUUGUGAAUCAAUAGUUACAACCAAGUUCUCAGUUCUAGGAGAUGUUCAGUGUUUUGGCCAUCAAGCCUCCUCGUCUACCUCUUUCUUUAUCUGUGUUUUUUGUUUUCCUUAGUUUGUGUUUUUGUUUUUAGUUUUUCUUUAGAUUGUGUUUUUGUUGCAGUGCUUGUAAGGUCUCCUAACCUGGAGUAUAGUACCCUCCUCGGAUGGGGUCUGUUGUUUUAUAUAUCUGCUUGUUUUGUAAGUGUAUGUUGUUCCAUAAUGUAGAUAAUGGACUAUUUACUAUGACUUCAUAACGUAUGCCCAUUUCUG
This 783-nucleotide unclassified non-coding RNA is filed under the name Hevea brasiliensis (rubber tree). Lineage: Eukaryota; Viridiplantae; Streptophyta; Magnoliopsida; Malpighiales; Euphorbiaceae. The record is from RNAcentral.